UUCGAUCCUUGGUUUGGAAAGAAAACACAGACCAUGCCUUGUUUGGUUGAGUGUCAAUGCCUAUUGGAUGCAUUAUCCAAUCCUUGGUUCUUGACCUAACAUUGGAAAGAAAACGAAAACGAUGCCUUUGAUUGAGGGUCAAUGGGAGUUCAUAGUGUACCCUUUUACAUUCAGGAGACGCACUAUCAAAGUGGAGAGAGGAUUGG
RNAcentral lists this unclassified non-coding RNA (206 nucleotides) under Hevea brasiliensis (rubber tree). The record is from RNAcentral. Lineage: Eukaryota; Viridiplantae; Streptophyta; Magnoliopsida; Malpighiales; Euphorbiaceae.